Molecule: long non-coding RNA, 217 nt
Organism: Pyrgilauda ruficollis (rufous-necked snowfinch)
Lineage: Eukaryota; Metazoa; Chordata; Aves; Passeriformes; Passeridae
Exons: 3
Source: RefSeq, a predicted model, not a curated record
CCCAGGUGUGCCCAGGUGUGCCCAGGUGCCCCCAGCUGUGCCCAGGUGCCCCCAGCUGUGCCCAGCUGUGCCCAGGUGUACUCACGGCCCGCAGCUCAACCUCCUCCCCUGCCUCUGGCACUCCCAAAUCCACCUGGCCCCCACCACGACCCCUCCCCUCUGCCGCGCCCGCGCCGCCUUCGGCGUCCUGGCGAACGCGCACCUGAAAAAAAAAACC